Long non-coding RNA from Varroa destructor (honeybee mite), 964 nucleotides. The record is from RefSeq and is a predicted model, not a curated record. NCBI's taxonomy places the organism in Eukaryota, Metazoa, Arthropoda, Arachnida, Mesostigmata, Varroidae.
GGGCCAAUAGUGUAUACUGAAAAAUCUACGUAAGCAAGCAGAUGAUACAAGUAUAGAAAUUGUCUGCAUAUCCCCAUGUGUGUCUGUGUGCGUGUUUGAGCUCGGGGAUGGCCCAGGCGUGUACUACAAUCGUCCACAAACACAAUAUCGCCAUCUACUGCGAGAGAAAUUACAGAGAUAUCUCUAUGAUUUGGUCCCACAUAGGUGGUGCGGUUUUCAUUAGGGUUUACUGUGUGGCAGUGAGAUACCGUAGUGCUACCAGGGAUGAGGGAAUAGUUGCGGGAAAGAGGCUCCGGAAACAGCUGAUUCCGGGAGACAGACAUCAUUUGUGUUGUUGUAACUCAUAUAGCUAAAGUACUCCUUUCGAACCGUAGUUAACAACACAACAAUGAGAAGAGCUAUAUAAGUUUUACAAGUCUUGUUGUUAUUAUUACAGCAAAUCUGGUUGAAUUUAUUUUUCGAAUUUUUGAUUUUCCAACUAUUAUUAUUAUUACAACUAAGUAAAGUUCAUCCCCAGAGGCGUUUGUGGCUGAGAUUCGGUGGUCUAUAGGAGCUCGGAUUGCAUUCUUCGGGAUCUGAGGAUAUGUAUACGUAGUAAAACGGGAUUGACGUUCACGCUGGUCACGGAGGCGACCAUCGGACCAGUUGUCGUUGUCGUUGGAUCUACCUUUAUUCUAGCCAUUGCAGACGCAUUGGCGGCGGCAAACAACGAAUUCGUUGGGGCAAUGGCGAUCAUCUGUGUUUUUGGCCAGGAAAAAGCUCUGGACAAAAUUUAUUCGGAUUAGGACAUUGCUGAUAGAGAGGUGGUGACUAGCAUUUCGGUGCGGACUGUUAAUGAUGAUGGGCCGCUGGGAUGCUAUACGCUAGAUUACUGUCCAUGGCCGGAAGAAGCACGCCGACGGUAACGAGGCAGCGGGUCUUGGCCCGACGUUUUCGUUCUUCACGCAUAACCGUCGACUGGGCA